This 73-nucleotide transfer RNA is filed under the name Megalinus hunanensis. RNAcentral's name for it is "tRNA-Asp". The record is from RNAcentral. Lineage: Eukaryota; Metazoa; Arthropoda; Insecta; Coleoptera; Staphylinidae.
AAAAAUUUAGUUAAAAAUAUAACAUUAGUUUGUCAAACUAAAAUCAUUUUCAUUUUAAAAAAAGUAAUUUUUA